AUUGAACGCUGGCGGCAGGCCUAACACAUGCAAGUCGAACGGUAACAGGAAGCAGCUUGCUGCUUUGCUGACGAGUGGCGGACGGGUGAGUAAUGUCUGGGAAACUGCCUGAUGGAGGGGGAUAACUACUGGAAACGGUAGCUAAUACCGCAUAACGUCGCAAGACCAAAGAGGGGGACCUUAGGGCCUCUUGCCAUCGGAUGUGCCCAGAUGGGAUUAGCUAGUAGGUGGGGUAACGGCUCACCUAGGCGACGACCCCUAGCUGGUCUGAGAGGAUGACCAGCCACACUGGAACUGAGACACGGUCCAGACUCCUACGGGAGGCAGCAGUGGGGAAUAUUGCACAAUGGGCGCAAGCCUGAUGCAGCCAUGCCGCGUGUAUGAAGAAGGCCUUCGGGUUGUAAAGUACUUUCAGCGGGGAGGAAGGGAGUAAAGUUAAUACCUUUGCUCAUUGACGUUACCCGCAGAAGAAGCACCGGCUAACUCCGUG
This 490-nucleotide ribosomal RNA is filed under the name uncultured bacterium. RNAcentral describes it as "partial 16S ribosomal RNA". It matches the Rfam family "Bacterial small subunit ribosomal RNA", at positions 30 to 507 of the family's 1533-position model. The record is from RNAcentral.